GAUGAACGCUGGCGGCGUGCUUAACACAUGCAAGUCGAACGGAAAGGCUCCUGCUUGCCGGGGUUCUCGAGUGGCGAACGGGUGAGUAACACGUGGGUGAUCUGCCCUGCACUUCGGAAUAAGCCUGGGCAACUGGUUCUAAUACCGGAUAGGACGAUGGGUUGGAUGCCAUUGUGCAGAGUUUUUCGGUGUGGGAUGAGCUGGCGGCCUAUAGGCUUGUUGGUGGGGUAAUGGCUUCCCAAGGCGCCGUCGGUUAGCCGGCCGGGGAGGGUGUACGGCGACAUGGGGACUGAGGGACGGCGCAGAGUCCUACGGGAGGCAGCAGGGGGGAAUAUUGCACAAUGAGCGCAAGCGUGAGGCAGCGGUGCUGCGUGGGGGAUGACGGCCUUCGGGUUGUAAACUGCUUUCGGUAGGGACGAAGCGGAAGUGACGGUACCUGGAGAAGAAGCACCGGCUAACUACGUG
Molecule: ribosomal RNA, 465 nt
Filed under: uncultured bacterium
Lineage: Bacteria
Description: partial 16S ribosomal RNA
Rfam family: Bacterial small subunit ribosomal RNA
Source: RNAcentral